RNAcentral lists this ribosomal RNA (301 nucleotides) under uncultured bacterium. Its description in RNAcentral is "bacterial SSU rRNA". It matches the Rfam family "Bacterial small subunit ribosomal RNA", at positions 381 to 694 of the family's 1533-position model. The record is from RNAcentral.
CCCUGACCGGACCGACGGCGUGAGUGAGGAAGACGGCCUGGGGGUAGUAAACCACUGUCGAAGGAGACGAUAUGGACGGUACCCUUGGAGGAAGCCCGCGGCUAACUACGUGCCACGCAGCCGCGGUAAGACGUAGGGGGCAAGCGUUGUCCGGAAUCAUUGGGAUUAAAGCGCUCGUAGGCGGAUCAGCACGUAUGUGAAGACAGACCCGGGCUCAAUUCGGGGACCUGCAUGGAUACUGUUUGUCUUGAGGUAAUCAGAGGGUGAUGGAAUUCCCGAUGUAUUGCUGAAGUGGCGUAGA